CGGGAUGUAGCACAGCCAGGUAGUGUACUUGUAUGGGGUGCAAGGGGUCGUGGGUUCGAAUCCCGCCAUCCCGA
This is a transfer RNA of Arsenicibacter rosenii, 74 nucleotides long. It matches the Rfam family "tRNA". From Rfam's summary of the family: Transfer RNA (tRNA) molecules are approximately 80 nucleotides in length. The record is from Rfam. Lineage: Bacteria; Pseudomonadati; Bacteroidota; Cytophagia; Cytophagales; Spirosomataceae.